Papilio xuthus (Asian swallowtail) is the source of this 1607-nucleotide long non-coding RNA. RefSeq lists it as uncharacterized. Lineage: Eukaryota; Metazoa; Arthropoda; Insecta; Lepidoptera; Papilionidae. The transcript has 3 exons. The record is from RefSeq and is a predicted model, not a curated record.
CGUUGACUUCGUAGGCGCGGUUAAUAGAAACUUAGAAAGUAGCCUAUGCGUUCUUCAGGACUAUGUUCUACAUCUGUGUCAAAUUUAUUCGCGAUCUAACGGAUCAGUCGUUUUGGACUUUUGGAGAUACGUAAUAACAAACAUCCAUCCAUCCAUGCAAACUUUGGCAAUCACUAGUGCUCGCCCGGGACUUCGUCAACGCAGAAUGUAAAGAAGGAAGGAAGGAAAAGCCAUCUCCAAAACUAAACCUCAAAAAUAAUUCUAAAUAAUUGUGCUGUGACACGUAAAGACCAAUAGGAACAGCGAAGCCAGAGUCAGCGAGUGAGCCGGUGCGUUGUGGUGUUGGGACCGUGUCCGUGUGGCAAUGCUCAGGUGCGUCCGGCGCGUGGGGAGUGUCGGCCGCGAGCGGGGAGUCGGUCGGGAGCGGGGAGUCGGGUGCGUGGAGCGGCCAGGAGGCGUCCACCGCGUCCGGCCUGUCCGCGUCGGAGGGCUCGGCCGCGCGCGCCGACAGCCCGGCCACCGAGCCCGACACUGACGACAACGGCAACCCUCCCGCCGCACACACUCCGCUCGCCCCACACACUGCCCAAGAGACAGAAGACGUGCAGAACGAGAACGCGGGCGCAAUGCCGCACUUCAAGAACAUGUUCUACCAAAAGCUGGGGCUGGGCCGUUAAGGUCGGUCGGGAGACACGGGAGACGGGAGGACACAGAAGCGCUCACUCAGGAAACACUCAGGACGUGGACCGAAAUUUAUGUAAAAUGAAUGUAAUAAUAAUAAUAUGUAUUACAAAAUAUCAUUCGAUAAUGUGAAGCCUAAUAUAUUAGUUAUUAUUUUUUAAAGACUUUAAUAAUUAGAUUGGGAUAAAAGCUUUUUCGCUUUUUGUAUGACAAUUGAAAACAUAUAUUAUAGUUUAUUUACAUUUACCUAAAGUAUGUAUGUAGUAGGUAGAUGUCAUUUUGUUCGAUAAAAUCACAAAUUAUGAGCUUCUUCAAAUAUGGUUCGGUUUGAUUACAUCGUAAUAAAGAAUCACAAGUCACAGUUCAUUAGGUUUCUUUCAGUGAGCACGUGACUUGGAUUGAAUUUGGAAUCAUUUUGAUGACAAUAUAACCAGCCAGAUAGUACACAUCCAAAGCGAUUUUAUUAUUCAUCGUACUACCUAUUAUACAUGCGAAAAACCUUUAAACCAAAUGGUACUCUCAAAACGAUGUAUGUAUGUACCUAUAAAUACCGUUGGUGGAGUCUCCGUUGACUAACUGACGUCACUCGUGACAGAUAGCGAUACUGACGAUAUUUCCUCGUAACUAGUAAUGUAACGCGCUAUAGCUUGCUAGUUAUAUUUUAAUAUCUUUGUUCUAAUUACACUUUACAUUAUAAGUAUGGUGUAGUUAGCAGAGAGAGAAAUAGAAUCGAUGAAAGCCGAUGUGGAGCUUACAUUAUUUAGCAAGAAAAUAGUUGUAGUUAAUUCUGAAACAGAAUCACUUGCUUCGCCAGAACUGAUCUCACCGAAAACUUUACAGAUCGCGGAUUCGGUUCGUUCCGUUAAAACAUGUAAUAUUUUUUUUGGGAUUAAGAACCAGCAAACUGAUAAAAAAAAUAUUUUGCA